CUGCCCUGUGAAGAGGUGCCUUCUGCCAUGAUUGUAAGUUUCCCGAGGCCUCCCCAGCCAUGUGGAACUGUCUGCUGCACGAGAGUCAGAACAUCACUACAAAAUGAAAAACAUGCACCAGGAGAGAAGAGAGGAGAGAAGGCACUGCUAAGGGACACUCGAUUUACUCAAGAUGGAAUAAGUACAAAGUUACAUAGUCAGGAGAACUAGUACAAAAAAGGAAUCAGGUCUGUGUCGGAGUAAAAAUUGCAUCUAGCAAAUUUAAACAGGCAAAAAACAGUUAUUCAAGGCCAAUGCAAUAGAAGAGAGAGGCCAGACCUAUGCCUGAGCACAGCUCCAGUGAAACAAAGGUCUGAAGAAUUUUUAAAAGCCCGAGUGGGGGAUCAUAGGCCACCUGUGUUUGCUAAUUUGCUUCACGCAAAGUGACAACGGCCUCCUUGAGCUUCCUACAUGGGAUGCCUGCUGCAGAACUGUCCCUUAGUGAGCAGUGGUGAAGAGGAUCUGCAAAACGGGAUAAUCUUUCUUGAGCAGGGAGGUGAAAGAACCCAGCAAUGGCAUGGAUGGAUGUCCUUGGAAGAAUGGAAGGCCCCAGUGUGGUGGGGUGAGGCUUACAUAAAAGCACCCCCAAAUGCCAUUCACUUUCUUCUUCCUUCCUAAAAUAAUUGAAACUGCGGCUAUUUGUAAGCACCUGGUCUUUGCCCAGCAUUGUAACAGAGGCUAUAGCAGGAGGCCAGACGUCCAGCUCCCCAGGGAGUAAGGGGUCCCAUGGACACAGCCUGAUGGGACCAGCCAUGAUGGCGGGCAGAGCUGUGUCUGGAAAGGAGUCCAAACACCAAAUUCUAGUAUUGGGAUCUUCAUGGUGAUCAUUUGCAAGGCCUCAAUUCUGCCACAGGCUGUUCUACUAUUCCUUGUUCUACUGUUCCUAGCUUUUUCUUAACACUAUUUGCUAAAUGCUCUUCUUUUGGCCAUAUAAAACUGUUAUUCCUCAGACUACAUACUUAUAAUUUGUGUGUUAUUUUUCAUUCUGCCCUAAAGUUCUAAAGUCCAGAAAUGCCUUUUCAUAUCUUCGCUAUAUACACACACAUAUAUGGAAUAGCAAACUGUGAUUCUCUCCUUGAACCACCCAGGAAUAAUAAAUAUGUGGACUUUUUGAAGGUAGAGACUGUGGCUUGUCAAUGACUGUAGAGUUAAAAAACAUGAGUUAUUUCUUUUGAAUAAGUAGGACAACUAUCACCAGUAUAUUGUAGGUACAAUCAGCUAAACUCUUUUUCCCACAAACGCUGGAUAAACUUUUGUGAUCACAAUUACUGACAUAAUAAUAGUUUUCCUUUCACUGGGAAAAGUCUUCUGCAAUUUUGUGUUCAUUUUGCCUUUUUGCCUGUUUACUGCUAAAAAGCGUGAUAGUCAAAUUGUCUUCUCAUUCAAAUUCUUAACGUUAUGUUGUGAUUUAAAAUCAGAGACAAAAACACAGAGCUGCUUAUUUACAUUUCUCUAAUUUUUUUACCUAACAAAAAAGAAUAAAUCAUUCACAGACAUCUGAAGAAAAGUUACAUAAUUUUAAAAAAUUAUUACAUGGAGAGCUACUAAGGGUAUUGAGUGAGUUAAAUAUCCAGGAAUUGAUGGCUCUGGUCAGUCUCAUUUUACAGAAUCACUGGGGAGUGAUUUGCAUGUUUUGAAUUUUUAGAAUUUACUUGAUAAAAUAACAUGCAAAUGGGGAGAAUAAAGACAAGAACAAAUUUUAAGUGGCUACCUAGAGAGCCAAGUCUUAAAUUCUCCAACCACUCAUUAUUCCUGAGCUUGAGAAUAAAUCAAUGAAUCAAGAUAAAGCAUGAGUGAAAAGGAAUAAUACUGGGAUAGCCACCAAAGUUUAUUUUAGAAUAAAGAAAAAAAAAACAGACUGAACAGUUGUGUAUAGUAGCACUGAGAACAUUAGAAUUUCCUUCUUUUGACCCUUCUAGAUAUACUUAUUGUAAUUGUGUUUGGCUCCAGCACUCCUCUUCUUGUUUUUACUUUGAAUUAGGUCCAGACUUUUUAGCUCCGGGGAAGCUAGGAGUAGUACUAGAAUUGCUCUUUCACUUAAACAGAGCUAAUUGGAGCUACAAUGUUAUUCAUAGACUGGAAAUUAAUGAUGGGAAAGACCUGUUAGAUCAUCUCUUCCAUCUGAUUCUGGCAAUACAGGAUUAUUUUUUACAUUGUGUCCUGGAAUAUUCUGCCUGGUUAAUUUUAAGUGACUAAAAUAAUGGUGCUUUCACUAUUUCCCUUGGGAGACAAUUAUGUAGCCUAAUAAACUUCACUCAGGACAUCAAUUUGAAGAUCAGCCCAGGUUUUCUUUUCACUUCGUUUCAUGCCAUUACUUCUACUUAUACACCCUUGGAUCACCCUAAACAAUUCAUUUUCCUUAUCCAUUCAAUACAGCAAAUUUCCUGGCUACCAUCCUAAAAGAACUCCAAGGAUGGUUUCAUUUGCAUUUCUGAAAAAGGCUAUGGUCUUGCUUAGUGGUGAAGCAAAAUACAGCUAUUCAUUAUUCCAUGAAUCAUGCUUUUCCAAAAGGAGGCAAAGGAAGGCUUUAAAAAAUAAAUAAAUAAAAACCCACACAAGAACCUAGCAUUUGCAUUAUAUCUGCACCUUUAAUUAAUCAGCUUUAAAUGUAUAUUAAAACUUUCUU
Molecule: long non-coding RNA, 2665 nt
Organism: Pan troglodytes (chimpanzee)
Lineage: Eukaryota; Metazoa; Chordata; Mammalia; Primates; Hominidae
Exons: 3
Source: RefSeq, a predicted model, not a curated record